RNAcentral lists this ribosomal RNA (253 nucleotides) under uncultured bacterium. RNAcentral's name for it is "partial 16S ribosomal RNA". It matches the Rfam family "Bacterial small subunit ribosomal RNA", at positions 524 to 776 of the family's 1533-position model. The record is from RNAcentral.
UACAGAGGGUGCAAGCGUUAAUCGGAAUUACUGGGCGUAAAGCGCGCGUAGGUGGUUUGUUAAGUUGGAUGUGAAAGCCCCGGGCUCAACCUGGGAACUGCAUCCAAAACUGGCAAGCUAGAGUACGGUAGAGGGUGGUGGAAUUUCCUGUGUAGCGGUGAAAUGCGUAGAUAUAGGAAGGAACACCAGUGGCGAAGGCGACUCACUGGACACAUAUUGACGCUGAGGUGCGAAAGCGUGGGGAGCAAACAGG